RNAcentral lists this ribosomal RNA (433 nucleotides) under uncultured bacterium. RNAcentral describes it as "partial 16S ribosomal RNA". It matches the Rfam family "Bacterial small subunit ribosomal RNA", at positions 29 to 507 of the family's 1533-position model. The record is from RNAcentral.
AACGAACGCUGGCGGCAUGCCUAACACAUGCAAGUCGAACGAGACCUUCGGGUCUAGUGGCUCACGGGUGCGUAACGCGUGGGAACCUGCCCUUAGGUUCGGAAUAACUCCCCGAAAGGGGUGCUAAUACCGGAUAAUGUCUUCGGACCAAAGAUUUAUCGCCUUUGGAUGGGCCCGCGUUGGAUUAGCUAGUUGGUAGGGUAAAAGCCUACCAAGGCGACGAUCCAUAGCUGGUCUGAGAGGAUGAUCAGCCACACUGGGACUGAGACACGGCCCAGACUCCUACGGGAGGCAGCAGUGGGGAAUAUUGGACAAUGGGCGAAAGCCUGAUCCAGCAAUGCCGCGUGAGUGAUGAAGGCCUUAGGGUUGUAAAGCUCUGUUACCCGGGAUGAUAAUGACAGUACCGGGAGAAUAAGCUCCGGCUAACUCCGUG